GGUGUUUACUGUCGAACUGAACACUCUACCGUUUACUGUCUGGUGGUGCUCUUCACCGAGUGUCACCAGUGGUCGGUACGUUUACUUUGAAAAAAUUAGAGUGCUCAAGCGGUUUUUACACGACCGAAUACUGUGCAUGAAUAAUGAAAUAGACUUUGGUUCUAUUUUGUGGUCUUCGGACCAAGGUAAUGAUCAGAGGGACAGACGGGGGCAUUAGUAUUGCGACGCUAGAGGUGAAAUUCUGGACCGUCGCAAGACUAACUAAAGCGAAAGCAUUUGCCAAGAAUGUUUUCAUUAAUCAAGAACGAAAGUUAGAGGUUCGAAGGCGAUCAGAUACCGCCCUAGUUCUAACCAUAAACGAUGCCAACCAGCAAUCAGCCUGUGUUCUCUUGAUGACACGGCUGGCGGCUUCCGGGAAACCAAAGUCUUUCGGUUCCAGGGGAAGUAUGGUUGCAAAGCUGAAACUUAAAGGAAUUGACGGAAGGGCACCACCAGGAGUGGAGCCUGCGGCUUAAUUUGACUCAACACGGGGAAACUCACCCGGCCCGGACACUGUGAGGAUUGACAGGUUGAAGCCCUUUCUUGAUUCAGUGGGUGGUGGUGCAUGGCCGUUCUUAGUUGGUGGAGUGAUCUGUCUGGUUAAUUCCGAUAACGAACGAGACUCUAGCCUACUAAUUAGACCGUGGCGUCCUCGUGCCGCCACGGCGCUUCCUAGAGGGACAGACGG
RNAcentral lists this ribosomal RNA (727 nucleotides) under uncultured eukaryote. RNAcentral describes it as "SSU rRNA". It matches the Rfam family "Eukaryotic small subunit ribosomal RNA", at positions 671 to 1426 of the family's 1831-position model. The record is from RNAcentral.